GGAGCGUAGGAGCCGGCAGGCGUGGGAGGGAGUGGCCCCUGCUCCUUUUUGGUUUCUUGGUUAACUGUCCGGCUGUCACCCCGCGCGCCAUCUUAAACAACCCUAUUCUGGAAACAUCUGUUCAGCAGCUGCGGUGUGUAUCUCAGGGCCUCCUCCACCUUCAAUGGGGGCUUCAGUGAAGCCAUCGCACAGCCCCAUCAACAGAUAGGAGACAGGCCCAGAGAGGUGGAGCCCCUGCCUGAGGACACACAGCGGCAUGUGUCCUGCUCACUGCCUGUCCUCACCUGUCCACCUGCUGACAAGACCAGUCACAGAGGAAAGAGCACAGAGUUCUAGGGCUUGAAGUCUGCAAGGGGCCAAGGCCAGGGACUGCUUGAUCUUCACAUGGCAUGCAGAGGAGAAGGCACAGAGUGACGC
Marmota monax (woodchuck) is the source of this 417-nucleotide long non-coding RNA. RefSeq lists it as uncharacterized. The record is from RefSeq and is a predicted model, not a curated record. The transcript is spliced from 2 exons. NCBI's taxonomy places the organism in Eukaryota, Metazoa, Chordata, Mammalia, Rodentia, Sciuridae.